GAUGAACGCUGGCGGCGUGCCUCAAACAUGCAAGUCGAGCGGGGCUAUGUAAUACCGCAAGGUAGAACAUAGCCUAGCGGCGAACGGGUGAGUAACACGUGGGUAACCUGCCUGGAAGACAGGGAUAACGAUUCGAAAGGGUCGCUAAUACCUGAUAAUAUCCUUUCAUCGCAUGGUGAUAGGAAGAAAGGGGAAACCCGCUUUCAGAUGGGCCCGCGUCCCAUCAGCUAGUUGGUAAGGUAAAGGCUUACCAAGGCGACGACGGGUAGCCGGUCUGAGAGGAUGUACGGCCACACUGGGACUGAGAUACGGCCCAGACUCCUACGGGAGGCAGCAGUUGGGAAUCUUAGGCAAUGGACGAAAGUCUGACCUAGCGACGCCGCGUGAGGGAAGAAGGCCUUCGGGUUGUAAACCUCUGUCAUGGGGGGAAGAAGUAAGUGACGGUACCCCAAGAGGAAGCCCCUGCUAACUACGUG
This 476-nucleotide ribosomal RNA is filed under the name uncultured bacterium. RNAcentral's name for it is "bacterial SSU rRNA". It matches the Rfam family "Bacterial small subunit ribosomal RNA", at positions 28 to 507 of the family's 1533-position model. The record is from RNAcentral.